GCUCAGCUGGCUCAGUUGGUACAGCAUGGUGUGUGCAACGCCAGGGUUGUGGGUUCGAUUCCCACGGGGGGCC
RNAcentral lists this transfer RNA (73 nucleotides) under Salmo salar (Atlantic salmon). It matches the Rfam family "tRNA". Rfam says of the family: Transfer RNA (tRNA) molecules are approximately 80 nucleotides in length. Their secondary structure includes four short double-helical elements and three loops (D, anti-codon, and T loops). Lineage: Eukaryota; Metazoa; Chordata; Actinopteri; Salmoniformes; Salmonidae. The record is from Rfam by way of RNAcentral.